AGUGAACGCUGGCGGUAGGCCUAACACAUGCAAGUCGAACGGCAGCACAGUAAGAGCUUGCUCUUACGGGUGGCGAGUGGCGGACGGGUGAGGAAUACAUCGGAAUCUACUUUUUCGUGGGGGUUAACGUAGGGAAACUUACGCUAAUACCGCAUACGACCUACGGGUGAAAGCAGGGGAUAUUCGGACCUUGCGCGAUUGAAUGAGCCGAUGUCGGAUUAGCUAGUUGGCGGGGUAAAGGCCCACCAAGGCGACGAUCCGUAGCUGGUCUGAGAGGAUGAUCAGCUACACUGGAACUGAGACACGGUCCAGACUCCUACGGUAGGCAGCAGUGUGGAAUAUUGGACAAUGGGCGCAAGCCUGAUCCAGCCAUACCGCGUGGGUGAAGAAGGCCUUCGGUUUGUAAAGCCCUUUUGUUGGGAAAGAAAAGCAGCAGGUUAAUACCCCGCUGUUCUGACGGUACCCAAAGAAUAAGCACCGGCUAACUUCGUG
This 492-nucleotide ribosomal RNA is filed under the name uncultured bacterium. Its description in RNAcentral is "partial 16S ribosomal RNA". It matches the Rfam family "Bacterial small subunit ribosomal RNA", at positions 29 to 507 of the family's 1533-position model. The record is from RNAcentral.